RNAcentral lists this transfer RNA (62 nucleotides) under Peregrinus maidis (corn hopper). RNAcentral's name for it is "tRNA-Met". Lineage: Eukaryota; Metazoa; Arthropoda; Insecta; Hemiptera; Delphacidae. The record is from RNAcentral.
AAAAAGAUAAGCUAAGUAAGCUAUUGGGCCCAUAACCCAAUUAUGAUUUAUAUCUCUUUUUA